CACCUUAUUUUUCACGACAACAAGGGCGGCGCCAUUUCGCUCAUUUUGUCAACGUUCUUCCGGCCGCAUAGACGAUGAGCAGCUGAGGCAGUGACUGAAGGCGACGUGUUAAGCUUAAAAAGCUCACUCGAGCGCCUUUAUGUUUCUUUCUUACCAAUUUUAAGCCAACUGAGGAACACCCUUAUCCCAAUUAAUGGUUCGACUACGAUGUUCCGGUAACUUUAAACCACGCCGGGUGUUGAAAAGGUGGCCAGUUUCAGAUGCAUUGAUGUUUAGUGAUGCAGUGGACAACUGUGAGGAUGAUACAAUCAACAUGUUCCUAAACUGUGAUGCAGAAACACAAUGGGAGCAUCUAUCCAUCUCUGAACACAACUACACUCUAAAAUCACAACUCAACCUGAAGCAACCUACAUCUGAUAUGGGAAAACACUGGUGCGGUUUCCCGGACAGGGCUUAUCCUGGUCCCAGGCUAAAAUGCAUAUUUGAGCUACAAUAAUUUAAAAACACCUUUUACUGACAUACCUCAACAUAUAUGAGUGCCAUUGUUUUGUCACAAGAGCUGGCACAAAUGUACAUAUCUCUACUGAGAAACAACCAUCUUUGUCAGCUUUAAACAGGGUUGAUAUUGCAUCCAUUACACAGUCGCCAAGCACUUUACCAGUACAUACACCAACAGCUUCCAGAUAUACGCUUGGGAUCAGCUCCUGAUGACUCCGAUAAAGCUGUGUCUUAAUUUAUUGCAGGGUGGUCUUGCUUUACCUGUUGUAAAGUUACAUUAAACCUUCAUAUGUGAUCAGAUGUCAUGCAGUGAUAUUAAACAUUUACAGUGUGAUCAGAUGUUGUGCAUUUUAAUUAAACCUUUACAGUGUGA
Molecule: long non-coding RNA, 871 nt
Organism: Paramisgurnus dabryanus
Lineage: Eukaryota; Metazoa; Chordata; Actinopteri; Cypriniformes; Cobitidae
Source: RefSeq, a predicted model, not a curated record